This 492-nucleotide ribosomal RNA is filed under the name uncultured bacterium. RNAcentral's name for it is "partial 16S ribosomal RNA". It matches the Rfam family "Bacterial small subunit ribosomal RNA", at positions 29 to 507 of the family's 1533-position model. The record is from RNAcentral.
AGUGAACGCUGGCGGUAGGCCUAGCACAUGCAAGUCGAACGGCAGCACAGUAAGAGCUUGCUCUUACGGGUGGCGAGUGGCGGACGGGUGAGGAAUACAUCGGAAUCUACUUUUUCGUGGGGGAUAACGUAGGGAAACUUACGCUAAUACCGCAUACGACCUACGGGUGAAAGCAGGGGGUCUUCGGACCUUGCGCGAUUGAAUGAGCCGAUGUCGGAUUAGCUAGUUGGCGGGGUAAAGGCCCACCAAGGCGACGAUCCGUAGCUGGUCUGAGAGGAUGAUCAGCCACACUGGAACUGAGACACGGUCCAGACUCCUACGGGAGGCAGCAGUGGGGAAUAUUGGACAAUGGGCGCAAGCCUGAUCCAGCCAUACCGCGUGGGUGAAGAAGGCCUUCGGGUUGUAAAGCCCUUUUGUUGGGAAAGAAAAGCAGCAGGUUAAUACCCCGCUGUUCUGACGGUACCCAAAGAAUAAGCACCGGCUAACUUCGUG